Molecule: ribosomal RNA, 518 nt
Filed under: uncultured bacterium
Lineage: Bacteria
Description: partial 16S ribosomal RNA
Rfam family: Bacterial small subunit ribosomal RNA
Source: RNAcentral
GACGAACGCUGGCGGCGUGCUUAACACAUGCAAGUCGAACGGAGAAUUUAUUUCGGUAAAUUCUUAGUGGCGAACGGGUGAGUAACGCGUGGGCAACCUGCCCUUCAGAUGGGGACAACAUCCCGAAAGGGGUGCUAAUACCGAAUACGAUCACGCUGCCGCAUGGCGGAGUGAUGAAAGAUGGCCUCUAUAUAUAAGCUAUCGCUGAAGGAUGGGCCUGCGUCUGAUUAGCUAGUUGGUGGGGUAACGGCCUACCAAGGCGAUGAUCAGUAGCCGGUCUGAGAGGAUGAACGACCACAUUGGGACUGAGACACGGCCCAAACUCCUACGGGAGGCAGCAGUGGGGAAUAUUCCGCAAUGGACGAAAGUCUGACGGAGCAACGCCGCGUGAGUGAUGAAGGGUUUCGGACUGUAAAACUCUGUUGUUUAGGACGAAAGUGCCUGUUGCAAAUAGUUGCAGGUAUUGACGGUACUGAACGAGGAAGCCACGGCUAACUACGUGCCAGCAGCCGCCGCGG